Molecule: ribosomal RNA, 253 nt
Filed under: uncultured bacterium
Lineage: Bacteria
Description: partial 16S ribosomal RNA
Rfam family: Bacterial small subunit ribosomal RNA
Source: RNAcentral
GACAGAGGUCCCGAGCGUUAGGCGGAAUCACUGGGCUUAAAGCGUGUGUAGGCGGAUCGUUAAGUACCUUGUGAAAUCCCACGGCUCAACCGUGGAACUGCUGGGUAUACUGGCGGUCUUGGGCCAUCUAGGGGCUACCGGAACAAGCGGUGGAGCGGUGAAAUGCGUAGAUAUCGCUUGGAACGCCGAAGGUGAAAACAGGCUGCUGGGGUUGCGCCGACGCUGAGACACGAAAGCCAGGGGAGCAAACGGG